RNAcentral lists this ribosomal RNA (306 nucleotides) under Triticum aestivum (bread wheat). RNAcentral describes it as "partial small subunit ribosomal RNA". Lineage: Eukaryota; Viridiplantae; Streptophyta; Magnoliopsida; Poales; Poaceae. The record is from RNAcentral.
UUACAGAUUGGCCGUCUACACUGCCUGCUUCCUUGGUGGGAAGAUGCUACUGUUAAUUUUAUGAUUACUGGAGGUUAUAAUGUCCUAAACCAAAUAAAGCAGGCAAAGCAAAAAUGCCUGGUCUUAUGGGGAGAGGAUGAUGGGAUAAUUAGCAAUAAGCAAGCAUACCGGUUACAGCAGGAGCUCCCCAGGGCAAUUCUAGGACAGGUAGGGCAGUGCGGCCACAUUCCCCAUGUCGAGAAGCCGAGGGAGGCGGCAAAGCAUGUGCUUGACUUCCUCGGAAGCGAUAGCGUGGACAAGGCGGAC